GACAGAGGGUGCAAACGUUGCUCGGAAUUACUGGGCGUAAAGCGCGUGUAGGCGGACCAUCAAGUCGGACGUGAAAGCCCUGAGCUCAACUCAGGAACUGCAUCCGAAACUGACGGUCUGGAGUGGUGGAGAGGAAAGCAGAAUUCCUGGUGUAGAGGUGAAAUUCGUAGAUAUCAGGAGGAACACCGGUGGCGAAGGCGGCUUUCUGGACACUUACUGACGCUGAGACGCGAAAGCGUGGGGAGCAAACAGG
This 253-nucleotide ribosomal RNA is filed under the name uncultured bacterium. Its description in RNAcentral is "partial 16S ribosomal RNA". It matches the Rfam family "Bacterial small subunit ribosomal RNA", at positions 524 to 776 of the family's 1533-position model. The record is from RNAcentral.